AGAGUUUGAUCAUGGCUCAGGAUGAACGCUGGCGGCGUGCCUAACACAUGCAAGUCGAGCGGGGCAUUGUCCGGCACCGAGCAUCCGGUGGAAGAAGUGGAAACGGUCAUGGCAAGGAUUUCAGCCAUGAUGGGAAACGCAAAUGACAGGGGAACCUGGCGUUUGCGAAGCGCGCACGGCAGGGGAACCUGGCGGGGGCGGAGAAGCUUUCUGACACAGGGUGUUGAGUGUCGGACAAUGUCUAGCGGCGGACGGGUGAGUAACGCGUGAGCAACCUGCCUUGCACUGGGGGAUAACGUCGGGAAACCGGCGCUAAUACCGCAUGAGACUCCGGAACCACCUGGUUCUGCUGUC
RNAcentral lists this ribosomal RNA (354 nucleotides) under uncultured bacterium. RNAcentral describes it as "partial 16S ribosomal RNA". It matches the Rfam family "Bacterial small subunit ribosomal RNA", at positions 8 to 202 of the family's 1533-position model. The record is from RNAcentral.